This 4118-nucleotide long non-coding RNA is filed under the name Strigops habroptila (Kakapo). Its description in RNAcentral is "lncRNA (ENSSHBG00005012751.1)". The record is from RNAcentral. Lineage: Eukaryota; Metazoa; Chordata; Aves; Psittaciformes; Psittacidae.
CUGCUGUUAUGGUGACAUACCUGUUUUUGCAUAGUUACUGUGUAAUUCUGUGGUAAUGUUCUUAACAGCACAACCUCUCUAUUGGUAACAAGAAUAACGGCGUUAAGUUGCGUUAUCCUCUUCUGUCUAUGCGGGUAAUUAAUAUGCAUUUUUAGGAGUUGUUAAAUAUGUAUAUGUACAGGAUUCCAGUAUGGAAAAGCCCCUCUGUAUAUGUGGUAUUUGCGUGCUUCGUCUUAAGGGUGCGGUAGACUUGCUACAGCCAAAUUCAUGAAAUCAUUUGGGGUGUAGGUGAGUGAGGGCUUAAAACCAAUCUGUAUUUUGAUGCUUAGAGGAUGCCAUUUUCCCACUUGUCAGAUAAGUUCCGUGGUGUAAAGAGGGGAUUGUCCAUCUGAGAGAUUGGAUUGUUUGAGCUACGCGGGUUUAGCUAAGGAGGAGCGGGAAGGUCACAUUCAGAAUACAUCAAAAUAAUUCCAAGGGUCUGAGAUGUGCAAAAGCCAAGUCUUUUGAAAGGAAGGGCCAAACCUUGACUGCAGCAUCCUGUAACAGUUGGUCUGGAGGUUUUGCUUCAAUACAACAUCCAAGAAGUUAAUAUGCUAGAUACUUGUACAUGUAAAAUGCACUCUCCCCUAUCUAUGUGCAGUGGGCAGGCGAACAGUAAAGACAUCUUUAAAACAAUCACCAAAACAGCUGAUCAGUAAUAAGCCAAGUAUCAAAUUAAAGCAGCAAUUCAUUCUUGCUCUCCCUAAGCUGAAAAUUCAAGUAUUCUUGGGAACGAAAUAGAAAUCUCUGUUACGCAGCUCCUCUUAGAAGGCGAACAUCUGUGUUUUCAAGACAAGAAGUAAAACUUGGCUUGCUCGGAAGUACAAUCUUAUCUCUAAGUAACUUUUCUACAAUCAGUCUUUCAAUCAGACUUCUCUGGCUUUUGUUAGCUUACAUUAGACCCUUAGUGUUAUUUUGACAUAUUAUUUAUAUGUGGGUAAAUUAUUACUAGCUUUAAAAGUGUUUCCAAAGUACCUAGUUACCUCUGGAUGCUGGUACAGGCUACGUGAGGAGUACUUGAGCAUCUAGUUUGUAGUGGAGGUGUGUGGGGAGUAAGCAAGGCCACAUUUGUAUCGUACUUGUCUUUUUCCUUGAUCAGGGCUUCCAUUUCCUUCUCGCCUCCUCUAGAGAGAUGGAGAUCAUGGAUCAAUUCUUUUUUUCCUGUGGGGGAAAGAUUUUAGUUUAGCUUGAAAUGGCUCUGUUUUCAUUCAACACGCAUAUCACCAAAAUCCUGUAUGUUACCGCAUUUCCCAUUCAGUUUUUUUAGGUUCUGAAACUUACCUAAAUUUCCUAUUUAACAAACUUUCUCUACUUGGAAAGCUAUGUGCCUUAAUUCCGAAUCUCUUUGUGGAGAAUAAUCUAAAGCACAGUGAUCUCGAUUGCAGCGUUCACAGCCGCUUUUCAUUUUGGGGGGAGGGGGGGAAGCAAGCACCGAUCGAGGAGCAUUUCAGUGGCCCGACAUGAGUUGCCCCAUCGCUGAUGAGCACUUCAAACACUGUGUGAAGUCUUUGUGCAAUAGCAAUUCUCGCUCUGCGUUUGGAGGUUCGUGUCCCGGCUGCCAAAUGCAGGCGAGCACAAGCUCUAGUUUAGGAGAAUUCAGGUUCCUGGGGAAGAAAAAAAUACAUAUCCCUCUGGGUUGGCUCCAGCAGCACGGUGGGGUCUCGGGUUAGAAAGUCCACCAUCACCCACAGUAUGCUCAUAAGGCUCAGUCUCACCCAGCAUACUCAUAGGUCUGUCAGCAUUCAGGAAACACUUGUGGACUUCAGCCAUUGCUAACUGUGACCAUGUCCUCUUGUGCCAUUAGUGACACACGCUGUCUUCAUUUCCAUGCCCAGAGCCUCGUGGUCUCUGGGUGGCAAGGCACUGUAAAGUCAUUCCAGUCUUCAUUUGGCUUUGUAAAGAACAGGCUUUCACCCACCAGCAUCCUCAGCCCUUACCAGCGCUUGUGUGUGUUAUUUUCCAAGCUUGCUCUCUCUACAGCAUCAUAAGGUGAAGUAUAUAAAGGUGGUUUGUAAUUAGGAAAACAAUCUAAUAUUUCCUAUUUAUGAGAUUAAUUUUAACAGUUUCUUUUUUGAGGUUUGUUUUUGUUUGAUACAAACACAACAGGAGUAUACAUAUCCCCUAAAUGGACGUUGGAGAAGGUUUGGGCUGUCCUAGCAGUGGAGCGGGAGGUGUCGGCUCGUCGUAGUAUCCAUAUCAUUGUGCCCCUGUUGUGUUUUCUAGAGCAAUCAUUUUCUUUUUUUAAAGUAUUUUAUCUAAAUGCCUAAUAAAUAAUAUUAUUUAAAUAGUUUUAAAAUAAUUUAGGACUGAGAAUAAGAAGCCUCAGUUGUGAGAGAAGAGACUUAAAAUAUACAGAGAGAGAAAAUACCCUUAGCCUCCUAGAGCCUCUACUGAGAAUGUCAUGAAGAUGCAGUGCCCCUUUGUCAAAGUACAUAGUGAUUUACUCGAGAGUGUUAAUUUAAAAUGAGAGACUGGUUUCCUGUGAUGUUCAUCUUUGUUGGCAUAUGUUUGAAUUUCUGAAUUCAGAGCUGAUUUUCUUCUCAUUCAAAGUUGGUCAAGGAAAAAAAGAGAAAAAAUCACCUUGUGCAGCAGCAACUUUUCCUGGUGUGAACUCUGGAAAUAACACGUUGUGAAUUGAUCUCGGUCACGGAGGAGGUGGUUCGUUUUCUUGCAGUGUCGGAACACGUUCAGACAGGCUCUCCCUGGCUAGGUCACGCUUGGCAAACGAGCAAGAGAAAGAGCUGCAUUAAGCCAAACUAAAACCUGUUGGGCUCAAAAUUGCCCCUGCUUGUGGCAGGGGGAGCGUGUGUCUGCACGAGGGACGACGCAAAGGGCCUCUGGUAGCACCGAACCACUCGGCCCCGCAGUACAGCCUUAUGGUGGGCAAAGACAGACGGUGCUGAGCUAGUUGCAGGGCACAUCACCACUUCUGUGGAUCUGGAAGCAAAUUUGCACUUUGCCUUUCGAGGGUGUCCCACUAAAAACCAUCAGAUGAAUUUCCCACACGAGGUUCUUUCCUUCUGGCAUAGUCUGAAAGAAUAAAAAAGGAGAGAGAGACAAAACGAAAGCCCUCUGGUAAUUAUCGGAUAACUUCUGCAAAACAAAAGAGGUUGUUCCUGUCAGAAUCCUCUAUGCAUUUCUGUGUUGAAAAGCGUUUUCUGCCAUUCCUUUUGGGAAAGCAGCACUCGCUGGGAAUGCUGCGAGAAUGUCGCUGUACGAAUCUGGAUGAUAAUUCCAAAGCAGAUGGAGGCUGGCUGGGGGGGGGGAGGGGGAUGUUCUGUUCUUUUUCUUUUUAAUUGUUUCCCUCAUGUCCCUUUUCAUUUAUUAUUUUGUUUUGUUUAAUGAAAAAAAUUAACUCUUUGCAUUUGUGCAAUAACUACUUGCCAUGAGAAUGGGCAGACCUUGGAAAUGCCCUGACUACUAACACAGCACAAGAUGAACUCAAACAGAAAGUGGUGUACUUUUUCCUGAGAACCUUUUUUUUUUCUUGGUUUUUAUUUUGAAUAAUAAGCUCAGUUUUCCCCCCGUGUAUUGUGGUGUCUUACAUUUUUAGCAGUAUUUUAUAUUUUUUUUUUUUCCUGUAACGCACUAAGUCUUAGAUGUUUUUAGAGCUUGUUUGUUAUAGUCACAAUCACAGGUUGAAAAAAAGGAAAAAAAAAAAAAAAAGGAAAAAAAAAAAUCCUCACAAAGACCCAAUUGACCAAAAAGAAUUAAAAAAAAAUUUUUUUUUUUUUUUUUUUUUUUUUUUUGUACAAGUAGCUUUGAGAAGCCCACGUUGUGUUGCUGUGACUCAUCUUUUGUAACAUUUUAUUUCUUGGUAUUUGUUUAAACAUAAAGAAAGUAAGAGUUUAUAUGGCUGGCAGUAGCAGGGCAGCGCUCCCUCCGUCAGCAGAAUGGCAUUGUUUCUUCUGUCUUUGUUUGGUUAGCCAUAUAAUGUUUGUUCUCAGCACUGUACAACGGUCCCUAUAUGAUAUGGAGAAGCAAUAUCACUGUAUGAAACUCACACGAUGUAUUAUUAUUAUUAUUCACUAGCACCCUAGGUGUGAUAAUUGAAGUAAAUAUCUUUUAUACAAACACAA